GUGCUCACUUCAGCAGCACAUAUACUAAAAUUGGAAUGAUGCAGAGAAGAUUAGCAUGGCCCCUGCGCAAGGGGAAAAAAAUUUUAGCAGCUGUACCUCAGACAA
RNAcentral lists this small nuclear RNA (105 nucleotides) under Heterocephalus glaber (naked mole-rat). The record is from RNAcentral. Lineage: Eukaryota; Metazoa; Chordata; Mammalia; Rodentia; Bathyergidae.